RNAcentral lists this ribosomal RNA (466 nucleotides) under uncultured bacterium. RNAcentral describes it as "partial 16S ribosomal RNA". It matches the Rfam family "Bacterial small subunit ribosomal RNA", at positions 28 to 507 of the family's 1533-position model. The record is from RNAcentral.
GAUGAACGCUGGCGGCGUGCUUAACACAUGCAAGUCGAACGAUGAAGCCCAGCUUGCUGGGUGGAUUAGUGGCGAACGGGUGAGUAACACGUGAGUAACCUGCCCUUAACUCUGGGAUAAGCCUGUGAAACUGGGUCUAGUACCGGAUAGGAGCGCCUACCGCAUGGUGGGUGUUGGAAAGAUUUAUCGGUUUUGGAUGGACUCGCGGCCUAUCAGCUUGUUGGUGAGGUAAUGGCUCACCAAGGCGACGACGGGUAGCCGGCCUGAGAGGGUGACCGGCCACACUGGGACUGAGACACGGCCCAGACUCCUACGGGAGGCAGCAGUGGGGAAUAUUGCAAAAUGGGCGAAAGCCUGAUGCAGCGACGCCGCGUGAGGGAUGACGGCCUUCGGGUUGUAAACCUCUUUCAGUAGGGAAGAAGCGAAAGUGACGGUACCUGCAGAAGAAGCACCGGCUAACUACGUG